RNAcentral lists this ribosomal RNA (407 nucleotides) under uncultured bacterium. RNAcentral describes it as "partial 16S ribosomal RNA". It matches the Rfam family "Bacterial small subunit ribosomal RNA", at positions 28 to 526 of the family's 1533-position model. The record is from RNAcentral.
GACGAACGCUGGCGGCGUGCCUAAUACAUGCAAGUAGGACGCAGUUGCGAACGGGUGAGUAACGCGUAGCUCUCUGGCUAUUAGAGGGCGAUAAAUAGUGGAAACGAUAGCUAAUACCGCAUACACGUAGAUGUACCUGCGUUGUAUUAGCUAGUAGGUAGGGUAAGGGCGUACCUAGGCGCCGAUCAAUAGCCGAGCUGGGAGGGUGAUCGGCCACACUGGGACUGAGGCAGGGGCCAGAAUCCUACGGGAGGCUGCGGGAGGGAAUCAUCGGCAAUGGGGGGAACCCUGACCGAGCAACGCCGCGUGAGUGAAGAAGGUUUUCGGAUGAUAAAGCGCUGUUGUUAAGGAAGCGGUACUUAACCAGAAAGGGACGGCUAACUACGUGCCAGCAGCCGCGGUAAUAC